GGCGUGCUUAACACAUGCAAGUCGAACGGAAAGGCCCUGCUUUUGUGGGGUGCUCGAGUGGCGAACGGGUGAGUAACACGUGAGUAACCUGCCCUUGACUUUGGGAUAACUUCAGGAAACUGGGGCUAAUACCGGAUAGGAGCUCCUGCUGCAUGGUGGGGGUUGGAAAGUUUCGGCGGUUGGGGAUGGACUCGCGGCUUAUCAGCUUGUUGGUGGGGUAGUGGCUUACCAAGGCUUUGACGGGUAGCCGGCCUGAGAGGGUGACCGGCCACAUUGGGACUGAGAUACGGCCCAGACUCCUACGGGAGGCAGCAGUGGGGAAUAUUGCACAAUGGGCGGAAGCCUGAUGCAGCAACGCCGCGUGCGGGAUGACGGCCUUCGGGUUGUAAACCGCUUUCGCCUGUGACGAAGCGUGAGUGACGGUAAUGGGUAAAGAAGCACCGGCUAACUACGUGCCAGCAGCCGCGGUGAUACGUAGGGUGCGAGCGUUGUCCGGAUUUAUUGGGCGUAAAGGGCUCGUAGGUGGUUGAUCGCGUCGGAAGUGUAAUCUUGGGGCUUAACCCUGAGCGUGCUUUCGAUACGGGUUGACUUGAGGAAGGUAGGGGAGAAUGGAAUUCCUGGUGGAGCAGUGGAAUGCGCAGAUAUCAGGAGGAACACCAGUGGCGAAGGCGGUUCUCUGGGCCUUUCCUGACGCUGAGGAGCGAAAGCGUGGGGAGCGAACAGGCUUAGAUACCCUGGUAGUCCACGCUGUAAACGGUGGGUACUAGGUGUGGGGUCCAUUCCACGGGUUCCGUGCCGUAGCUAACGCUUUAAGUACCCCGCCUGGGGAGUACGGCCGCAAGGCUAAAACUCAAAGGAAUUGACGGGGCCCCGCACAAGCGGCGGAGCAUGCGGAUUAAUUCGAUGCAACGCGUAGAACCUUACCUGGGUUUGACAUGGAUCGGGAGUGCUCAGAGAUGGGUGUGCCUCUUUUGGGGUCGGUUCACAGGUGGUGCAUGGCUGUCGUCAGCUCGUGUCGUGAGAUGUUGGGUUAAGUCCCGCAACGAGCGCAACCCUUGUUCACUGUUGCCAGCACGUUAUGGUGGGGACUCAGUGGAGACCGCCGGGGUCAACUCGGAGGAAGGUGGGGAUGACGUCAAGUCAUCAUGCCCCUUAUGUCCAGGGCUUCACGCAUGCUACAAUGGCUGGUACAGAGAGUGGCGAGCCUGUGAGGGUGAGCGAAUCUCGGAAAGCCGGUCUCAGUUCGGAUUGGGGUCUGCGACUCGACCUCAUGAAGUCGGAGUCGCUAGUAAUCGCAGAUCAGCAACGCUGCGGUGAAUACGUUCCCGGGGCUUGUACACACCGCCCGUCAAGUCAUGAAAGUCGGUAACACCCGAAGCCGGUGGCCUAACCGUUGUGGGGGAGCCGUCGAAGGUGGGACUGGUGAUUAGGACUAAGUCG
RNAcentral lists this ribosomal RNA (1440 nucleotides) under uncultured organism. RNAcentral's name for it is "16S ribosomal RNA". It matches the Rfam family "Bacterial small subunit ribosomal RNA". The record is from RNAcentral.